Sarcophilus harrisii (Tasmanian devil) is the source of this 275-nucleotide long non-coding RNA. RefSeq lists it as uncharacterized. The record is from RefSeq and is a predicted model, not a curated record. NCBI's taxonomy places the organism in Eukaryota, Metazoa, Chordata, Mammalia, Dasyuromorphia, Dasyuridae. The transcript has 3 exons.
UAGGCUACUACUACUAUCUCUCAUCUUUGUAAAAGCCUAAAAGAUAUGAAUUCUCUUGGAGGCUACAAGGUUUAAUCCGAAAAUGGAAUUGAACACAGAGACAUGGACUACUAUCACACAUCAGGUAAGACGAUCAUAACCUUUGAACUAUGAUACAGCACAGAGAAAAUUAAAAGCCUGAGGAAUCACCUUUUCAUGAAUUUGUCAGUUGUCAAUGAUGUAUGCUGUUUUGAAGACUUCAAAUCACUGGACAAUAGGUGCUUGAGUCAUUAAUA